Molecule: long non-coding RNA, 647 nt
Organism: Drosophila albomicans
Lineage: Eukaryota; Metazoa; Arthropoda; Insecta; Diptera; Drosophilidae
Exons: 3
Source: RefSeq, a predicted model, not a curated record
AUUAAAAAUGGGUAGCGGGUAUCUCACAGUCGAGCACACUCGACUGUAACUUUCUUACUUGUUUUCUACCAUUUCAGUAUUGCAGUGCAAAUGUUUCUAUUUUAUAUUCCAUAUCCUAUGGUCUUCAUUCGACUGGCUUUUAUGCCAGUGAUCUGACUGGCUGACUGCUCAAGGACUACGACCAGCAAAUGAUGAACCAAGUAAAUUAUCUCAGUAUACUGAACAGUCUGUCAUGAUAAGCACGCGAAGCACUCAUUACAGGGCAUCUUGAAGUAGCGCAUAGUUGACUCAAGUCUCAGCUGCUUUUUGUCACGACAUAAGGGUAAGGGAAGAACCUACCUACCCCUAUCCCCUAUCUAACAAGGAAGGUUUCCACUUGCUUGUGCAUGCGAGCGGGAAUAAUAAAGUUAGCCUUGGCAUCAAAGCAAGACACUUAACAAGGCGAAGCCGGCAACAGUUGCGUCUUGACAUUGACAUUUCCAUUUGGCCAGGGCACCACGUUAAAGCCAAGCUGAAUGCUGAACGCUGAAAUGCGGCCCAAAUCAGCUGCCCAAUGGUUUGAAAAUUGCGCUGAGCUCACACGCAUCAUAAAAAGGCAAAUGGUCCGCAUUGAUUUGCAUGCUCCAGCCACCCUCAGCCUCACCCAC